RNA transcript from Etheostoma cragini (Arkansas darter), 2589 nucleotides. It is a transcript of the gene named zinc finger protein 2-like, with no coding region annotated. The record is from RefSeq and is a predicted model, not a curated record. NCBI's taxonomy places the organism in Eukaryota, Metazoa, Chordata, Actinopteri, Perciformes, Percidae. The transcript has 10 exons.
GGUACAGUAGGUGGCGGCUUGCACCAACGUUGGUUUGUAGUCCACCAUGAAAAAAAACAGAAGAAACAAAACAAAAUGGAUGCCAGUUUCGAAAAGGAGUUGUGCGAGGAGGUUCGCCGUUACUCACAGAUAUAUGAUUCGUCCUUAAAGGAGUACAGAGACAACCACAUUACCUCAGACGCCUGGCGACAAAUCGCUCAAACGCUUGGGAGAAAUGAACUAGCCUGCCGUAAUAAGUGGAAAGGUCUGCGAGACAGAUAUGUAAGGGCAAGGAAAAAGCUAAAAGAUGGGGGAUGCAACGCAGGUCUAAGUGCCUCUGCCUACAUCAUUUCCAUGUUAGAUUGGCUCUCUGGCUUCAUCAAUCAUUGUCCCACAGAGGCGACGCGGAACGUUAAAUGUAGCAGGCCAGGGCCAAUGCAAUGCGCGCCCCCGAUAAAGGCGCGCAGCUCUCCAUGGAACGCGGAAAAUCCUCAUCUUCCUCUGUCAUCCGUGCGCCUCCUGGUUCCUCCACUGAGGUUGAUGUCAGCCUGUAUGUGGCAGGUGGCCCAGGAGCGGAAUGUAGACCAGUAUAACAAACUGGCGGAAUUCAUCAUGUUGGUGACAGAGAUGGUCCCAGAGCUUCUGAACUACAAACAGAAGACUCAGCUGAUCCUGGGACUGAGAGCUCGGCUCAUCCUUGAAUUAUUAAAGAGGAUGGAUGAGGUUGACUGUAAAGCUAUCCAGGAUCAUCUUAUCAGUUUCCAACAGACGACUACAAACCUCAUGCAUGAAGAGGACCUAGAUGGAGAGGUGGAGACUUCAAAGUCCGCAUUUGUGGAGCUGGUUCAAACUUUGCUUGAAGACCAAUCUGGAAAAGAGAAUUUUUUCAAAGAGGUCUUCCCAGUACAGUAUGGAGCUUGUUUUGAUACAACGCUGCAGAUUCUGGUGUGGGAGUUCUUCCACCAGCUGGAAGAGUUCCUCCCAGUUCCACGUUUUUCACAGGUGGGCUCCAUGUUUGACAUUUCUUCCCUUGACGAGGAGUUUAAGCAGUUUCUCUCUGACCCUGAGGAUCUGAAGAGGAUUUUGCAGCACCAACAAGAGUGGCAAAAGUUGACUAAAAGUUUCUCAGGUGAAUUCACCUUUAUGUCAGACGCCAUCCUCUCCACGCUCGCCUCGAAACAGACUUCAGCGGCAUCUGAAGAUCAGGAUCAAAUAAUGGAUCCUGAAGAGGGCAAACAAGACACUGGGAAAUCACAGGGAAGAAAUCGAGAGCAGUCAGUACAGACAACAGUGAAGCAAGAAAACAGCUGGAGACCAGAAGAUAGUUGUGAGGACGAUGAAGAGACAGACAACAGUUCCAUUGAACCAGAUUGUGGGCUGUCUGAGUACGGGCUGUCACCCCUCACUUCCUCUCCAUGUUCAGAAGAGGCUGCUGAGCCAGGGGAGAGUGGAGGCAGAGCCGAUGUCUCUCUUCCAUUCAGUGAGGACUCCGUAAGAGCCAAUGAGAACAUUUGCCUGGAAUGUGGAAAGACAUUUGCAUCCCGUUCCACCUUGAAACAUCAUCCACUUGUUCACACUUCUGCAUGACCAUUCAAGUGCACUCAGUGUAACAAGGCAUACAAAUGGCGCCAACACCUGAAACACCAUUUACUCACUCACUCUAAAUGGACAGUCCGGUCCUUUGCUUGCAGCCUUUGUGAGAAGAGAUUUAGUUCUCAAUCUUUACUUAAAGUUCAUCUACGUCGUCACAGCGGAGAGCGGCCAUUCGGCUGCUCGUACUGUGACAAGAGGUUCUUGACAAAGCCAGUUUUAAAGUCCCAUGUGCGCAUUCACACCGGUGAGCGGCCAUAUGCCUGUACUUUUUGCGGCAAGAGAUUCAGACAGUCAUAUACGCUGGCUGUUCACCUCAGGAUGCAUAAGAAAGAGAAGCCUUACCUGUGCAGCUCAUGUGGUAUGUCCUUUUGUAGCUCUGGGGCCUUGCUGGUCCACACACUCAUGCACACAGGUGCAGCCUAAUCAAUGUGACAUCUGUGGAAAAGGUUUUACCACAGCUAUGCAUUUGACACAACAUCGGCGAUACCACACUGGAGAGAGACCGUAUGCUUGCUCACAAUGUGACACAUUGCUCAAAUUUGAGACAGGACUGAAGAGACACAUGAAGGCACAGGAGAGAAACCUUACCAGUGUUUAACAUGUCACAAGACUUAACAUGAGGGUACACCUCAAAGUCCAUACAAUCAUCUAGCAUACUGUUUUGACUUUUGGAGAAUGUAUAGUUAGUUAAAAAGAAAAGCCUGGUUCAUUUCUACACCAGGGCAGGCUGUUAAAGUGUAUUUCCAUAACAGUAAAACAUCAACAUGUAUGUAAACAUGGACCAGAACACUCAAAUGUUACAUGUGGAGUAAUGUGUACCUCAUGUUUUAAGAGACCAUAACAUAACCCGGUCAGUUACUGUAGGUUCAUGACUUCUGAUACAAUAUAUACCAAAAUGAAAGAAGGCUGAAAAGUGAGAUAGUAUCAGACGUGUGGCUUAGAAGAUAUUGAUCCUUUGUAACAUAAGAAUGUGAAUGAAUGUACUCUUUACCCAACCCAUAAACAUCUUUGAUAAGA